This 353-nucleotide long non-coding RNA is filed under the name Zostera marina. RNAcentral describes it as "long non-coding RNA (ZMAR_LNC002583)". The record is from RNAcentral. Lineage: Eukaryota; Viridiplantae; Streptophyta; Magnoliopsida; Alismatales; Zosteraceae.
CCAAUGGUUGCAUUUGAUAGAUACGCGACCUACAAAACAAAACAAUCGAUUAGUAAAGUAAAAUAAAACACAUAUAUGUAAAAGCGAUCGCGAAUCACUUACAGCAGAUAUAGCUUUUCCAAGCUCUUCGUGUAUCCAAUCCCCAGGCUUAGUCAGAAGCAGCUGGGCAGCCUUCGUCUGCACCCCUUCAUCGGCAAACAAGCCAGGAUAAUCAAAUGUGGUGCGGAAGGGGGCGAAUUCAGGCACAGACCUCGAGCUCGACCCAGUCUCGAAGGUUCUGCGGGGGCCAGUCUCUUGGGCCUUCCUUUCUCGUAUCAGCUUAGCGCCGCGAAGUCUCACGGCCAAGUGUGGAA